This 254-nucleotide ribosomal RNA is filed under the name uncultured bacterium. RNAcentral's name for it is "partial 16S ribosomal RNA". It matches the Rfam family "Bacterial small subunit ribosomal RNA", at positions 524 to 776 of the family's 1533-position model. The record is from RNAcentral.
UACGUAGGGGGCGAGCGUUGUCCGAAGUUACUGGGCGUAAAGCGCGCGUAGGCGGUCCUUUAAGUCCGGGGUGAAAGGUUCAGCGCUCAACGUGAACAGUGCCCUGGAGACUGGGGGACUUGAGUGUGGGAGGGGGCAGUGGAAUUCCUGGUGUAGAGGUGAAAUUCGUAGAUAUUCGGAAGAACACCAGUGGCGAAGGCGACUUACUGGACACAUAUUGACGCUGAGGUGCGAAAGCGUGGGGAGCAAACAGG